Molecule: ribosomal RNA, 468 nt
Filed under: uncultured bacterium
Lineage: Bacteria
Description: partial 16S ribosomal RNA
Rfam family: Bacterial small subunit ribosomal RNA
Source: RNAcentral
GAUGAACGCUGGCGGCGUGCUUAACACAUGCAAGUCGAACGGUGAAGGCGGAGCUUGCUCUGCUGGAUCAGUGGCGAACGGGUGAGUAACACGUGAGCAAUCUGCCCCUGACUCUGGAAUAAGCGCUGGAAACGGCGUCUAAUACUGGAUACGAGCUGCGAAGGCAUCUUCAGCAGCUGGAAAGAACUUCGGUCAGGGAUGAGCUCGCGGCCUAUCAGCUUGUUGGUGAGGUAACGGCUCACCAAGGCGUCGACGGGUAGCCGGCCUGAGAGGGUGACCGGCCACACUGGGACUGAGACACGGCCCAGACUCCUACGGGAGGCAGCAGUGGGGAAUAUUGCACAAUGGGCGAAAGCCUGAUGCAGCAACGCCGCGUGAGGGACGACGGCCUUCGGGUUGUAAACCUCUUUUAGCAGGGAAGAAGCGAAAGUGACGGUACCUGCAGAAAAAGCGCCGGCUAACUACGUG